GGAGCGGUAGUUCAGCUGGUUAGAAUACCUGCCUGUCACGCAGGGGUCGCGGGUUCGAGUCCCGUCCGUUCCGCCA
This 76-nucleotide transfer RNA is filed under the name Actinobacillus equuli. Its description in RNAcentral is "tRNA-Asp(gtc)". It matches the Rfam family "tRNA". From Rfam's summary of the family: Transfer RNA (tRNA) molecules are approximately 80 nucleotides in length. Their secondary structure includes four short double-helical elements and three loops (D, anti-codon, and T loops). The record is from RNAcentral. RNAcentral also lists the same sequence under 3 other names. Lineage: Bacteria; Pseudomonadati; Pseudomonadota; Gammaproteobacteria; Pasteurellales; Pasteurellaceae.